UACGUAGGGGGCAAGCGUUGUCCGGAAUCAUUGGGCGUAAAGAGCGUGUAGGCGGUCCGGUAAGUCGGCUGUGAAAGUCCAGGGCUCAACCCUGGGAUGCCGGUCGAUACUGCCGGACUAGAGUUCGGAAGAGGCGAGUGGAAUUCCUGGUGUAGCGGUGAAAUGCGCAGAUAUCAGGAGGAACACCAAUGGCGAAGGCAGCUCGCUGGGACGUGACUGACGCUGAGACGCGAAAGCGUGGGGAGCAAACAGG
This 253-nucleotide ribosomal RNA is filed under the name uncultured bacterium. RNAcentral's name for it is "partial 16S ribosomal RNA". It matches the Rfam family "Bacterial small subunit ribosomal RNA", at positions 524 to 776 of the family's 1533-position model. The record is from RNAcentral.